AGGAGGGGGCCAGCGCGCCCCGAGUGCUUGCGGGGCAGGGCGGGGCGAGGCAGCUGCGGGGAGGGGGGUCCAGAGGUCAUCUUGACCAGAACAAUCGGGUGAAACACUACUGACAUGAAAGGAUUUCUAUUUUACCGGACGGAAAUGUUAGGCUGGAACAUUCUCUGAGCCCGUCUCAUGGGGGGAAAGCGUGGCUCUGGGCGAACCGGAGUUCAUGCCACUCAACCACCAGAGAACCCACGCGACCCACGUGGGGCACAGCGUGGCUUGAAGUCCGGUCGAGUCACCACAGAGGGCCCAGGUGUCACCCAGGAUCAUUCAACCGGAAAAGAUCUGAUCAUCUCGCCAUCCGGCUCAGCCUCUAACGGGGCAUCAAGUAACUGGGAAGCCCGUGGGAUUGAAACUAGACCUGACAGCACAUCUCCAGAGCCUGCAGCCCACUCUGAACUCCGGGAACCACUGUGCACGAAGCACACAGCUUUUGUGUCCGUGAGCUGCUGCAGUCCCACAUCUGGUGGAGAGCCCCCACCUCUCCAGUCCUCAGGUGACCUCAUAGAGUCCAGGAUACGCGGUGACUUCCACAUCUGUCUCCAGCCUGGACCUCUUUUGAGACCUGACCAGGUGUUGAACUCGGCAUCACCACUGAUGUCAAACCUAACUCAGCGGAAGCGGAACUCAGUUCCCUGCACAUCCAGACAGCAUCCAGCCAAAUCGAGCAGCAGAUCCUCUCGCAACAGCACAAAUACACUCACUUCAUCCCAGCUCCUUCUGCCUCCUCUCGGCCUGCUAACACUGACCCGUGAAAUGGACCUCUGCUCCCACUUGGGCACCACUGCCAGCCGAUCUCUGCAGAGCACGUAUUUAAAAACACAAAUGGGGACGCCUAGGGGACUCAGUCGGUUGGGCGGCCAACUCCAUCUCAGCUUGUCUUGAUCUCAGGGUCAUGAGUUCAAGCCCUUCAUUGGGCUCUACGCGGGGCAUGGAGCCUACUUUAAAAAAAAGUUUUUUUUAAUAAAAAGUAAAAAAAAAAUACA
This 1034-nucleotide long non-coding RNA is filed under the name Ursus maritimus (polar bear). RNAcentral describes it as "lncRNA (ENSUMAG00000003945.1)". The record is from RNAcentral. Lineage: Eukaryota; Metazoa; Chordata; Mammalia; Carnivora; Ursidae.